RNAcentral lists this long non-coding RNA (221 nucleotides) under Elaeis guineensis (African oil palm). Its description in RNAcentral is "long non-coding RNA (EGUI_LNC047377)". The record is from RNAcentral. Lineage: Eukaryota; Viridiplantae; Streptophyta; Magnoliopsida; Arecales; Arecaceae.
GAGCUCGGAUGUUGCUGGCGAGCUUUCUACCGUUGGGUGCCUUGGGUGCUAGUACUGCAGACGAAGGUCAUCUGCUGUAGAAGCUCGGUCAGGGGCUUUUUGUGGAUGAAGUUCAGUUUCACGUAGAAUCCGAAGAAGGUCGACAGAUAGUGGAUGUCGAAUGGUGCUAGAGAGGUUCACCCGCUAGAGGGGUUCGGCUGCUGGAGCCCGUGCAUCGUAGG